This 492-nucleotide ribosomal RNA is filed under the name uncultured bacterium. RNAcentral describes it as "partial 16S ribosomal RNA". It matches the Rfam family "Bacterial small subunit ribosomal RNA", at positions 29 to 507 of the family's 1533-position model. The record is from RNAcentral.
AGUGAACGCUGGCGGUAGGCCUAACACAUGCAAGUCGAACGGCAGCACAGUAAGAGCUUGCUCUUACGGGUGGCGAGUGGCGGACGGGUGAGGAAUACAUCGGAAUCUACUUUUUCGUGGGGGAUAACGUAGGGAAACUUACGCUAAUACCGAAUAUCACCCACGGGGGAAGGCAGUGGAUCUUCGGACCUUGGCGGUUUGAUUGAGCCGAUUCCGGAUUGGCUAGUUGGGGGGGUAAAGGCCCACCAAGUCGACGAUCCGUAGCUGGUCUGAGAGGAUGAUCAGCCACACUGGAACUGAGACACGGUCCAGACUCCUACGGGAGGCAGCAGUGGGGAAUAUUGGACAAUGGGCGCAAGCCUGAUCCAGCCAUCCCGCGUGGGUGAAGAAGGCCUUCGGGUUGUAAAGCCCUUUUGUUGGGAAAGAAAAGCAGCAGGUUAAUACCCCGCUGUUCUGACGGUACCCAAAGAAUAAGCACCGGCUAACUUCGUG